AGUCGAACGGUAGCAGGAAGUGCUUGCACUUUGCUGACGAGUGGCGGACGGGUGAGUAAUGCUUGGGAACUUGCCUUUGCGAGGGGGAUAACAGUUGGAAACGACUGCUAAUACCGCAUAAUGUCUACGGACCAAACGGGGCUUAGGCUUCGGCGCAGAGAGAGGCCCAAGUGAGAUUAGCUAGUUGGUGGGGUAAAGGCUCACCAAGGCGACGAUCUCUAGCUGUUCUGAGAGGAAGAUCAGCCACACUGGGACUGAGACACGGCCCAGACUCCUACGGGAGGCAGCAGUGGGGAAUAUUGCACAAUGGGGGGAACCCUGAUGCAGCCAUGCCGCGUGUGUGAAGAAGGCCUUCGGGUUGUAAAGCACUUUCAGUUGUGAGGAAAAGUGAGUAGUUAAUACCUGCUCACCGUGACGUUAACAACAGAAGAAGCACCGGCUAACUCCGUGCCAGCAGCCGCGGUAAUACGGAGGGUGCGAGCGUUAAUCGGAAUUACUGGGCGUAAAGCGCACGCAGGCGGUUUGUUAAGCUAGAUGUGAAAGCCCCGAGCUCAACUUGGGAUGGUCAUUUAGAACUGGCAGACUAGAGUCUUGGAGAGGGGAGUGGAAUUCCAGGUGUAGCGGUGAAAUGCGUAGAUAUCUGGAGGAACAUCAGUGGCGAAGGCGACUCCCUGGCCAAAGACUGACGCUCAUGUGCGAAAGUGUGGGUAGCGAACAGGAUUAGAUACCCUGGUAGUCCACACCGUAAACGCUGUCUACUAGCUGUUUGUGGCUUUAAGCCGUGAGUAGCGAAGCUAACGCGAUAAGUAGACCGCCUGGGGAGUACGGCCGCAAGGUUAAAACUCAAAUGAAUUGACGGGGGCCCGCACAAGCGGUGGAGCAUGUGGUUUAAUUCGAUGCAACGCGAAGAACCUUACCUACACUUGACAUGCAGAGAACUUUCCAGAGAUGGAUUGGUGCCUUCGG
Molecule: ribosomal RNA, 966 nt
Filed under: Alteromonas sp.
Lineage: Bacteria; Pseudomonadati; Pseudomonadota; Gammaproteobacteria; Alteromonadales; Alteromonadaceae
Description: bacterial SSU rRNA
Rfam family: Bacterial small subunit ribosomal RNA
Source: RNAcentral